GUUUAAUUAAUUUUAAAUAUUAACCAGAUGUGUUAAUAAAUCAAUCUUUUUCAUUAACUAAAAUUCUUUUAAAAAUCAUAAAUAAAUAUUCCAUCGUAAUUAAAUUUGAUUAUAAUGGCAUCGCCAGGGAGACAGCCAGCGGUGCCACUUCCAAUUCUAAAAUCUAUCUUUUCUAAAUACAAAUUUGAGAUUCAACAAAAUCUAAACCACUCGUCAGCAACAAUCUGGAAGAUAAUAAGCAAGGAGUUAUUAGCUAUGAUGAGCCCAAAACUACUCUAUAAUUAUGCCUCACAAAAUCGAAAUAAUUGUCUAGAUAUUUUGGAAAUACAGAAAGAAAUAGCUUUCUAAGGGAUAUUACACAAUAUCUGUAAAUCGAAUUGAAUAACCAGGGAUAUUACACAAUAUCUGUACAUCGAAUUGAAUAACUGAGAACCAACUUUCUCAGGGAUAUUAGAUAACGUUAUGAUCUUUUCCCUGAUCUCGGGCCUUCCCGUACCUACAACAACAACCUGACGAUUGGAUGAAAUCUCAAUCAAUUCCACAUAUCUCCUAUGAAAUAUCCAAGGGUACUCAAGCCGAAAAAUUUAAACAACAUUAAUUAGAACACAACGCCCCCACGCUUAUAAUAAAUAUAUAUCGUGAUUAUAACAAAUAUAUAUUACUAUUCGUACAUAAUAUUAUUCACCAUUCCUUCACUAUUAUAAUACAUAAAAAA
Long non-coding RNA from Gordionus sp. m RMFG-2023, 715 nucleotides. RefSeq lists it as uncharacterized. The transcript is spliced from 4 exons. Lineage: Eukaryota; Metazoa; Nematomorpha; Gordioida; Chordodea; Parachordodidae. The record is from RefSeq and is a predicted model, not a curated record.